UACAGAGGUCCCGAGCGUUGUUCGGAUUCAUUGGGCGUAAAGGGUGCGUAGGCGGCGGGGCAAGUCUGAUGUGAAAUCCCGGGGCUCAACCCCGGAACUGCAUUGGAUACUGCUUUGCUAGAGUACUGGAGAGGGAACUGGAAUUUACGGUGUAGCAGUGAAAUGCGUAGAGAUCGUAAGGAAGGCCAGUGGCGAAGGCGAGUUCCUGGACAGUAACUGACGCUGAGGCACGAAGGCCAGGGGAGCAAACGGG
Molecule: ribosomal RNA, 253 nt
Filed under: uncultured bacterium
Lineage: Bacteria
Description: partial 16S ribosomal RNA
Rfam family: Bacterial small subunit ribosomal RNA
Source: RNAcentral